CCUACGGGAGGCAGCAGUCGAGAAUCAUUCACAAUGGGGGAAACCCUGAUGGUGCGACGCCGCGUGGGGGAAUGAAGGUCUUCGGAUUGUAAACCCCUGUCAUGUGGGAGCAAAUUAAAAAGAUAGUACCACAAGAGGAAGAGACGGCUAACUCUGUGCCAGCAGCCGCGGUAAUACAGAGGUCUCAAGCGUUGUUCGGAAUCACUGGGCGUAAAGCGUGCGUAGGCUGUUUCGUAAGUCGUGUGUGAAAGGCGCGGGCUCAACCCGCGGACGGCACAUGAUACUGCGAGACUAGAGUAAGGGAGGGGGAACCGGAAUUCUCGGUGGAGCAGUGAAAUGCGUAGAUAUCGAGAGGAACACUCGUGGCGAAGGCGGGUUCCUGGACAUUAACUGACGCUGAGGCACGAAGGCCAGGGGAGCGAAAGGGAUUAGAUACCCUAGUAGUC
This 446-nucleotide ribosomal RNA is filed under the name uncultured bacterium. RNAcentral's name for it is "partial 16S ribosomal RNA". It matches the Rfam family "Bacterial small subunit ribosomal RNA", at positions 338 to 795 of the family's 1533-position model. The record is from RNAcentral.